ACGGAAGGCAGCAGUGGGGGAUAUUGCACAAUGGGGGAAACCCUGAUGCAGCAACGCCGCGUGUGGGAAGAAGGUUUUCGGAUUGUAAACCACUGUUCUUGGUGAAGAUAAUGACGGUAACCAAGGAGAAAGCUCCGGCUAACUACGUGCCAGCAGCCGCGGUAAUACGUAGGGAGCAAGCGUUGUCCGGAUUUACUGGGUGUAAAGGGUGCGUAGGCGGCUAGGCAAGUCAGACGUGAAAACCAUGGGCUCAACCUGUGGACUGCGUUUGAAACUGUUUAGCUUGAGUGAAGUAGAGGUAGGCGGAAUUCCCGGUGUAGCGGUGAAAUGCGUAGAGAUCGGGAGGAACACCAGUGGCGAAGGCGGCCUACUGGGCUUUAACUGACGCUGAGGCACGAAAGCAUGGGUAGCAAACAGGAUUAGAUACCCUGGUA
This 434-nucleotide ribosomal RNA is filed under the name uncultured Oscillospiraceae bacterium. RNAcentral describes it as "bacterial SSU rRNA". It matches the Rfam family "Bacterial small subunit ribosomal RNA", at positions 341 to 792 of the family's 1533-position model. Lineage: Bacteria; Bacillati; Bacillota; Clostridia; Eubacteriales; Oscillospiraceae. The record is from RNAcentral.